This 465-nucleotide ribosomal RNA is filed under the name uncultured bacterium. Its description in RNAcentral is "bacterial SSU rRNA". It matches the Rfam family "Bacterial small subunit ribosomal RNA", at positions 338 to 795 of the family's 1533-position model. The record is from RNAcentral.
CCUACGGGUCGCAGCAGUGGGGAAUAUUGCACAAUGGGCGCAAGCCUGAUGCAGCCAUGCCGCGUGUGUGAAGAAGGCCUUCGGGUUGUAAAGCACUUUCAGCGGGGAGGAAGGCGAUAAGGUUAAUAACCUUGUCGAUUAACGUUACCCGCAGAAGAAGCACCGGCUAACUCCGUGCCAGCAGCCGCGGUAAUACGGAGGGUGCAAGCGAUAAUCGGAAUUACUGGGCGUAAAGCGCACGCAGGCGGUCUGUCAAGUCGGAUGUGAAAUCCCCGGGCUCAACCUGGGAACUGCAUUCGAAACAGGCAGGCUGGAGUCUUGUAGAGGGGGGUAGAAUUCCAGGUGUAGCGGUGAAAUGCGUAGAGAUCUGGAGGAAUACCGGUGGCGAAGGCGGCCCCCUGGACAAAGACUGACGCUCAGGUGCGAAAGCGUGGGGAGCAAACAGGAUUAGAUACCCGUGUAGUC